RNAcentral lists this ribosomal RNA (350 nucleotides) under uncultured Burkholderia sp. Its description in RNAcentral is "bacterial SSU rRNA". It matches the Rfam family "Bacterial small subunit ribosomal RNA", at positions 149 to 494 of the family's 1533-position model. Lineage: Bacteria; Pseudomonadati; Pseudomonadota; Betaproteobacteria; Burkholderiales; Burkholderiaceae. The record is from RNAcentral.
CGGCGAAAGCCGGAUUAAUACCGCAUACGAUCUACGGAUGAAAGCGGGGGACCUUCGGGCCUCGCGCUAUAGGGUUGGCCGAUGGCUGAUUAGCUAGUUGGUGGGGUAAAGGCCUACCAAGGCGACGAUCAGUAGCUGGUCUGAGAGGACGACCAGCCACACUGGGACUGAGACACGGCCCAGACUCCUACGGGAGGCAGCAGUGGGGAAUUUUGGACAAUGGGCGAAAGCCUGAUCCAGCAAUGCCGCGUGUGUGAAGAAGGCCUUCGGGUUGUAAAGCACUUUUGUCCGGAAAGAAAUCCUUGGCUCUAAUACAGUCGGGGGAUGACGGUACCGGAAGAAUAAGCACC